CAUACCUAUUCGAAGGGAUAGGGUCGGUUUGGCCGGAUUUCACACAGGUGUUGCAUGGCUGUCGUCAGCUCGUGUCAUGAGAUGUUGGGUUAAGUCCCGCAACGAGCGCAACCCUCAUCCUUAGUUACCAUCAGGUUAUGCUGGGGACUUUAAGGAAACUGCCAGUGAUAAACUGGAGGAAGGUGGGGAUGAUGUCAAGUCAUCAUGGCCCUUAUGGAGUGGGCUACACACGUGCUACAAUGGUGAUUACAAUGGGCUGCAAGGUCGCAAGGCUGAGCUAAUCCUAAAAAAUCAUCUCAGUUCGGAUUGUUCUCUGCAACUCGAGAGCAUGAAGUUGGAAUCGCUAGUAAUCGUGGAUCAGCAUGCCACGGUGAAUACGUUCUCGGGUCUUGUACACACUGCCCGUCACACCAUGGGAAUUGGUUUCACUCGAAGCU
This 437-nucleotide ribosomal RNA is filed under the name Wolbachia endosymbiont of Anoecia fulviabdominalis. RNAcentral's name for it is "bacterial SSU rRNA". It matches the Rfam family "Bacterial small subunit ribosomal RNA", at positions 992 to 1428 of the family's 1533-position model. The record is from RNAcentral. Lineage: Bacteria; Pseudomonadati; Pseudomonadota; Alphaproteobacteria; Rickettsiales; Anaplasmataceae.